This 252-nucleotide ribosomal RNA is filed under the name uncultured bacterium. RNAcentral's name for it is "partial small subunit ribosomal RNA". It matches the Rfam family "Bacterial small subunit ribosomal RNA", at positions 26 to 287 of the family's 1533-position model. The record is from RNAcentral.
AGGACGAACGCUGGCGGCGUGCUUAACACAUGCAAGUCGAGGGCACCUCGUAAGAGGUGACCGGCGAACGGGUGCGUAACACGUGAGCGACCUGCCGAUUCGUGGGGGAUAGUCGGCCUAACGGCCGGGUAAUACCGCAUAUACCGAUUGAGCUGCAUGGCUCGAUCGGGAAACCUCCGGGGCGGAUCGAGGGGCUCGCGGCCUAUCAGCUAGUUGGCGAGGUAACGGCUCACCAAGGCAUCGACGGGUAGC